This 417-nucleotide ribosomal RNA is filed under the name uncultured bacterium. RNAcentral's name for it is "bacterial SSU rRNA". It matches the Rfam family "Bacterial small subunit ribosomal RNA", at positions 506 to 921 of the family's 1533-position model. The record is from RNAcentral.
AGCCAGCAGCCGCGGUAAUACGUAGGGGGCGAGCGUUGUCCGGAUUUACUGGGCGUAAAGAGCGCGUAGGCGGCUCUUUAAGUCGGCUGUGAAAGGUCCCGGCUUAACUGGGAUAUGUCGGCCGAAACUGGAGGGCUUGAGGGCGGUAGAGGAAGGUGGAAUUCCGGGUGUAGUGGUGAAAUGCGUAGAGAUCCGGAGGAACACCAGUGGCGAAGGCGGCCUUCUGGGCCGUUCCUGACGCUGAGGCGCGAAAGCGUGGGGAGCGAACUGAAUUAGAUACUCAGGUAGUCCACGCCCUAAACUAUGGACGCUAGGUGUAGGGGGUAUCGACCCCUCCUGUGCCGAAGCUAACGCAUUAAGCGUCCCGCCUGGGGAGUACGGCCGCAAGGCUAAAACUUAAAGGAAUUGGCGGGGGAU